CAAAAAGAAAACCAACCCCUCCAUACAGAUUUAGAGGAAACACUUGAAACAGGAAAUUCUGGCACUUGGAUUGGGCAUUGAGAGAAGGUCAGAUACAAAGGGGAUGCAGUGGGGUGGAGAGUAAAUCAUUGUUUAUUGGCAUUUGACAUUCUGAAGAGCAGUGAAAAUGGUCAGCAUAAGCUACACCAGUGAGGGAGUUUCACAAAGAUGAGUGAGCAGCGUUACUGCCAGAGCAAUGCCCUGUGCCAACACCAAACAGGCCUUGCCAAUGGCAGGACUUGGCACUUCACACCUGAAGUCCUUUUUUCUGGCAUAUGCUGAUGCUGCUGGUGAAUCACACAGCGAUUCACAGAGCGGAUUUUCCCCCAUCAGAUAAAAUUUUGAACUGUUGAUUUAUGCACACACCCCUCUCUGGGAAGGUGAUGUCUCUAUCCUGCUGCCAACCAGUGCCUUCUAUGGACUAAAGAAUAAUUGAGGUGGGAAGAGACUUCUGGGGGCUCCUUCUCCAACCCCUUGCUUAGAGCAAUCCUAAUACUUCAGGUUGCUCAGGAUCUUGUCCAGGUGAACUCUGAAUAUCCAAGGAUGGAAAUUCCUCUGUUGGUCUGAAGCCCUGCUCCAGUGUAUGACCUGAGGUGCUACUGAUGCUGCUUGAAAGCUCAAGUUUCUUGGCAAUGUAAUGACAGUCACAGCCUGAUGAAAAUGUGCAUUUCGGAUGGUUUUCCCUUGUGAACUUGUCUAAGUUCCACAUCACCUUUUGAAAAAAAAUGAGUGGAGCUUCCUGAAUAUACCACAACCACACAAAAGCUGCGCCUGAUGGCCUCUGAUCUGAAAACACUGCAGCAGGAAAUCUCCUCUAGAGAUUUAUUUGACAGAAUGAGUUGACAUGGGCAACUCAGAAACUUGUCCAACAAAGAAACCCAACCAUGCAGUAAACUGGAUAUGACAGCUCAUCCUCUGGCUGAAGUCUUUGCAUACCUAUUGGACUGGCAGAUCAGAAUAACUGCACCACCAUGGGCAAACAUGUGAACUGACUUUUGUGAGGUUUUUAUGACUUUUUUCAGGUUUGAAGAGCCACUCAGGUUAUGUACUCGGGUUUAUUGCAAUUGAAAAUACAUUCCAGCGGAGAAGGUCAAUAACAAAAAUAUAAGAAGUCAUCCAACAGUCAUGAAAACCUGCCAGUUUUCUUCUGCAUUUUCAGCUGAAAAGGAUGAGAGAGCAGACAGAGUGAGGGACUGUCUGGGACAGGAGUGGAGUCAUCUCAGCAUGGAAAGCCAAUGAUGCUGUCACAGUCUCCAGAUUUAGCUGCUGUGAAAAGCUGAGCCACCAGGUUUAUUUUCUGUUUGUGAGAAAAUAUUGCCAACCAAGAAAAUCUGAGUAGUCUUUUCCACACCUAGGACUGAGCUUGGUAACACAUCAGGAAAAUGUUUGAUCUGUGCUCAGAGCUGUGCAGUAUUGCUUUGCAAAGCUGUGUUUUGUUCCUUGGUUCUCCUAAUUGUGGAGGAAGGCUUUUCAGAUGGACAUUCCCAUACAAAUGUCCCAAACAGAAAUUGCUAAAAGAAGGACCUUCAGUGGGGAGUUUGUGGAAGCAAUGGCUUAAAUUAAAACUAUAGUGUUUGCAAUCCCACACAGCUGUGCUGCAAUCCCAAACAUCAAUCCUGCAAUCCCACACAUGUCAGCUCAGCCUGGAGCAAAGGAGGCUCA
Cyanistes caeruleus (blue tit) is the source of this 1701-nucleotide non-coding RNA. Lineage: Eukaryota; Metazoa; Chordata; Aves; Passeriformes; Paridae. The record is from RefSeq and is a predicted model, not a curated record.